CGAGUGCCGUCCGCUGAGGAUGGCUUUUCCUCGGUGUAACGAGCCGGAGGAAUAAGGAGAGGGCAAGACUGGUGUCAGCCGCCGCGGUAAUACCAGCUCUCCGAGUGGUGGGGAUGAUUAUUGGGCCUAAAGCGUCCGUAGCCGGCUUGGCAAGUCUUCCGUUAAAUCCAACGACCUAAUCGUUGGGCCGCGGGAGAUACUGUUAGGCUAGGGGGCGGGAGAGGCCGACGGUAUUCCCGGGGUAGGGGUGAAAUCCUAUAAUCCCGGGAGGACCACCAGUGGCGAAGGCGGUCGACUAGAACGCGCUCGACGGUGAGGGACGAAAGCUGGGGGAGCGAACCGGAUUAGAUACCCGGGUAGUCCCAGCCGUAAACGAUGCGGGCUAGGUGUUGGGGUGGCUACGAGCCACUCCAGUGCCGCAGGGAAGCCAUUAAGCCCGCCGCCUGGGGAGUACGGCCGCAAGGCUGAAACUUAAAGGAAUUGGC
RNAcentral lists this ribosomal RNA (485 nucleotides) under uncultured bacterium. Its description in RNAcentral is "bacterial SSU rRNA". It matches the Rfam family "Archaeal small subunit ribosomal RNA", at positions 382 to 869 of the family's 1478-position model. The record is from RNAcentral.